GGGACUUGGGCUCAGUCACUUUAGAGAGACAGACUGGGAGGCAGGAGAGACUGAAGAGAGGGCACCUCGGCCCGAACCAAGUGGUUGUUAAAGGGGGGAUGGGUGGGUGGAAGGGGCGGAUGGCAGGUUCCCCGGAGAUUCCCUGGCUUCACCCCUUCACCUCUAGUCCUGCCUUCUCGCCACCUCCUUCCUUCCCAUUCCCUCUUAUCUCUGCCAACCCGGAAUAAGAACCAGCGAGAGUUGUACCAAGGGGAACUUCCUAGACUGCCACCUUUACAGCCACCCUCAUUUUGGGGGAUCUUUGCAGGGUGGGUGAGAAGAUCCUGGCCUGGCCUUCCCCACCCCCACUUUUGCUGUCUCUACCACCUCUUUUUGUGUUGGGAACCAGAAUGACCACUGCCCAAGGGAGAAAAGUAUUUGUUUUCGUUUCGUUCGUCUAAAGGAACUUGACAGAAGGUCAGAAGUUCAAAUACUGCUCGCGCGCGCACGAGGCGGCGGCGAGAGUGAUCGGUUGUAGGGAGGCUAAGCUCCGGGUCCCUGACUGGAAGGAUGGCGCGAGGGAAAGGACUUAACUGGGGAUCUCCGUUUAGGGCGCUGAGGCCGAGGGGCCGCGAGGGUGGCGGGGUUGCAGUCCAGGUCAGGCCCGCGGGGCUCCCUGCCUUGCGACUUCUCGCGGCUCAACCCCUGCCUGCGCGCCCUAGAGAGUGAGCGCGCUCGGAGCCCUGCGCUCCGGCCGGGCGCGCUCCGCGCGUGCAGGGUCAGGGACAAGCCGCCGGAGCUCAACCCCCGCGCGCUGAAACCCUAGCCUGGGGAUCGAUAGCGCAGGAGUAAGCCGGGCUGAAAGGCGUCUACCAAGGCUCGGCGCUCUCCCAGCUCUGCGACACGCAGAGGCCCGGCGCGCCGGACAAGGGAGCCGGCCGGCCGAGGACCCCCUUGCAGACCCAUCCGAGAUGAGGGACCCUGCGUGUCCACGACAGGCCUCUUUGCAUUGCCCCCGCCCCCUGCACUUGCGCCCCGCCAGCGCCGCCCCUCCAGCCGCUUGACGCACCUAGCCCUAAAGGUAGGACUUGAAUAUUUUAAUAGGGCAGUAAAAAGGAUGCUGACCUAUAUUUGCAAGGAAACCCAUUUCCAGCUCCAGUCAUACGUGCAUGGAGUUUCAGAAAGUCUCGGUUUGGCUGGAAGAUUGGUAGCCUAGAAAUCUCAAAGGAGGUGGGAUGGGAAGAGAGGCUUUGCCUUCCGUCUAUCCACCCUCGUCGCCGAAUAUUUAUUCGCGUCUAAUUCUUAUGCAAGCAGGUUGAAAAUUAAAGCGAUUGCAAAGCCAGCAAGUUCCAAGUCCCUCCCCUAAGGUACCGCGGGCUCUGGAGAACUGAGGAGCAUCCUUAAAGAAAUAUCAAUACAUUCUCGACCGGCACAAUUGAGGACGACGGGAUCGCAGUCAGGCUACGCGAGACAGUGGGGACAAGACGGGCGACUCUGGAGCUCCUGCCUUUUGUCACAACUGCCCUCUCCUCAGCUUUCCCAGUUACAGUUCUUUGGUAGUGGUGGGGUAAAGGGUGGGGUGGUCUUGGGAGAAAAACACAGAGAAGGGAAAGGUGGGAGCUAGGGGCUGGAAAUGCUCCCGGCUAUGUUUGCAGUGACCUGGAGGCCCCUUGAAGUGUACAGGGCAUCCCCACUCCCUCCAUUUUCUGUCUCCACUCGAAAAGGGCAGACACCCCCAGAGUGAAGGUCUUUCCAAGUUUCAGGGUAGAAUACAGGUAGUUAGAGGAGGUCGUCCCGCGAGACUAACUAAAUGAGACUAAUAAGAUAGAAAACCCCAUCUUCUGGUGCCCCAUUCCACCAAACCCUAAACUUCCUGCUGGACCCUUCACCUCCUUUCUCCUCCCGGAAGAGGAGUGCUAGGUGGGCAGGUGGGUGGGGAAGGAGAGAGCAAGCCGCCUUUCUACCUGCCCAAAGAGCAAACAGAGCAGGGCUGACUGCUUGGUCACACGCACCCCCCCUCCAGGGAAGGAACCCGUUUCCCACCCGCAAUGGGUCUCUACCUGAGUCAUCAGCCGGUCUGCUCCAGUGUUUUCCUCAUCCUUAAAUAUGAUGUCGGGGUUGUAAUUGGGGGUGAGUUCCUUAAAUCGUUCGGAGUUUCUUGUGAUCUUCCCUUCAUAUCGGCCGCUGGCCCCUAGGGUCUUCUCGGCUACGUUGGGGAUAAACUGCUUGUAGGCUAAAGGGGUCAGCUUUUUGGGGUGCCGCCUCUUUCCAAACCCCCUGCCGGGCCCACAGGCCAGUCCGGGGCACACCAGCAGCGAGGAAGCAAGGGCCACCAGAAAACAUCUGGCCAGCAGCAGCAGCAUCUCGUUCGCGGAGCCUGAGGACUUGCGAGCCGUCCCCGCGCCGGUCUGUGCGCGAGCUGGUACGCGCGGGUGUGUGCGUGUGCGCUCCUCCUUGCGCUCGGCUCUCCCUUCCUCGCUCGGCUCGUUCGUUCCCUCUGGCGCUGCCUGGCUCUUUCUCUUCCUAUAUAACCUUGCCUGCUGCUGCUGCAGGAGACUUGUCUCCGAUCCCCACCCAGACAGGGGCUGCGAUGGCAGGCUGCGGGUCGCUGGUAACGGAACACAUCGGAGUUGGGUCUCGAGACGGCAAUUAAAAGACAAAAAGAGCCUGAUUUUAAAUGGUAGCAAGGCUGGAGAGCUUGUGAGACAGGCUGCCUUUCGCACUAUAUUAUAGCUGGCAGGGGCGCAUCUGAUUGGCCAAGCCGCACAAGCUUGUCUUCAGAUGUUAACCCUGAGAAAGACUACAUUUCUCCCCCCUCUGGCUGCUGUGGCUUUAUUUUCACCUGAAGGCUUCCAGUUUGAAAAAAAAAAGAAAAGAAAAGAAAAGUCUUUACUAAGG
Rattus rattus (black rat) is the source of this 2877-nucleotide long non-coding RNA. RefSeq lists it as uncharacterized. The transcript is spliced from 2 exons. NCBI's taxonomy places the organism in Eukaryota, Metazoa, Chordata, Mammalia, Rodentia, Muridae. The record is from RefSeq and is a predicted model, not a curated record.